Molecule: ribosomal RNA, 403 nt
Filed under: uncultured Eubacteriales bacterium
Lineage: Bacteria; Bacillati; Bacillota; Clostridia; Eubacteriales
Description: uncultured Clostridiales bacterium partial 16S ribosomal RNA
Rfam family: Bacterial small subunit ribosomal RNA
Source: RNAcentral
UGGGGAAUAUUGCACAAUGGGGGAAACCCUGAUGCAGCGACGCCGCGUGAAGGAAGAAGGUCUUCGGAUUGUAAACUUCUGUCGACAGGGAAGAGAAAGGACAGUACCUGUGGAGGAAGCCACGGCUAACUACGUGCCAGCAGCCGCGGUAAUACGUAGGUGGCGAGCGUUGUCCGGAAUUACUGGGUGUAAAGGGCGCGUAGGCGGGUAAAUAAGUUGGAUGUGAAAACCCAAGGCUCAACUUUGGGAAUGCAACCAAAACUGUUUAUCUUGAGUGCAGGAGAGGUAAGUGGAAUUCCUAGUGUAGCAGUGAAAUGCGCAGAUAUUAGGAGGAACACCAGUGGCGAAGGCGACUUACUGGACUGCAACUGACGCUGAGGCGCGAAAGUGUGGGUAGCAAACA